UACUAAUAACUGAGAAAGAAAUGAAAAAUCGAGAAUAUUCCAAAAAAAUCCAGGUUUGAGUAGUCAAUACCUGAAGUUGGAAAUUGAAAAAAAAAAAUGAAGACCAUGAGAAUUCAAAGAAUCCAAGCUUAAGAAAUGCCGGAGCAUUAACCACUGUACAGGACCAAACAUUAUUUGCAACCCAAAUUAGUGGUAAAAGAACUAAUAUCAUUCACUGAUUCACUAUAUUCACUAUAUUCCUCACUGAGCUCGCAUUCAGGAAAUGCGAGCUCUGUGAGCUCGCAUUUCCGGAAUGCGAAGACCCCCAUUUGUAGAACAACUUCCAAAAAUCGCCCCAGUUGUAGAAUCCUUUUUUUUUUUCAUCAUAAACUAAGAAUUCACCC
This 383-nucleotide long non-coding RNA is filed under the name Coffea arabica (coffee). RNAcentral describes it as "long non-coding RNA (CARA_LNC007679)". The record is from RNAcentral. Lineage: Eukaryota; Viridiplantae; Streptophyta; Magnoliopsida; Gentianales; Rubiaceae.